AUUUUUUUCUUUAUUUUUUCUUUAUUUUUUAUUUUUUCUUUAUUUUUCUUUUAUUUUUUUUCUUUAUUUUUUCUUUAUUUUUUUCUUUAUUUUGCUUUAUUUUACGCUUGGCCGUGCCCCCCCCCCCCCCAAGGGCUGAGCCCAGACCGGUUGGCCUGGCUGUUCCCUUAGGAAGGAGGGGAAGGCUCCAAGCGGGGUGGGGUUUUUUUGUUGUUUAUUUUUAUUUUAUUUUAUUUUUUUUUGCCCGGAGGGCACAUUGGCAGGGGAUCAAUGGGGAAAAAGCAGGAGAAAAACCCAGCGAGGGAGGCGCUGCGGCGCCAGGCGAGAGCCGGUGCCUGGAGGUGCCUCCAGAACGAGCUGGAAAACGCCGUUUUUUCACAGCAAUCCCGGGCCAGCUGCUCCCCAAAUACCUGCAUCUACCACCUGGGGAGCUGCUUAACUGCUGUAAUAAAAGAAGUUUUCCCCUUUCUCCUCGUUUGCGGCUGCUUUAAAACACCACCUUCCUCCACAUCUGCACGGUCGCGCAGAAGACACGGUUUUUAACCCAGCUUGAAAAGGCGGCUGGGACAAAUGCCGUGAGCGCUUAUAGGGCAAAUGCAAGGAAGGGGGGUGUUUCCGGGCACGGGGGGAGCCCCGGCGCCCCGCACCCGGGGGCUGUGGGGCGCCCUCAGGGCCCGAUGUCCCCUCAGGGCCCGGUGUCCCCUCAGGGCGCCGCGUCCCCUCACAGCCCAGGGCCGCCCCUCCCCCCCCCGCCCCAGCAGCCGAGUGUUGCCGAAGCCUUUGCGGAAGUUCCCGAAGCCGCGCCGCCGCCGCGGCCGAGAGGCUCCGAAAAGGCCCGAGCGCCUCCCGACGGGGCGGGCGUCCCUCUCCCGAGCCUUUCCGAAGUUUCCCGAGCGCCCUCCCGCCGCCGGUCUCCGGAGCGAGCCGAAGUUUCCCGAGCGCCCGCCGGGGGUCACGGGAGGCGCCGGGUGGGGGCCGAGCGAGGGGGGGGGGCGGGGCGGAGGGAGCGUGCGCCCGCGAAGGUCUCCGGAAGGAGCCGAAGUUUCCCGAGAGCGGGUCGCCGGCGAGCAGCUCCGGAAAGAGCCGAAGGUUGCCGAGCGCCGGUGGGCCGAGCGGCUCCGGAGCGGCCCGAAGGCGCCCGAGCGUCCGUCCUGCCGGACUGCUGGAGGCGGCCGCAGCGCCAUGUUUGAUGCUCCGCUACUUCAGUGGAAUGCUGUGCUGAGCGGCUUUCUCUGCAAGGCCCUGCGUGGUGGGGAGGAGGAGGAGGAGGGUUUCCACUGGAAACCCCACCACCAAAAAAUCGCCGCGGCUACAAAGAGAGGCCGGGGUUGCUGUGAAAUGUUUUUAAAGGUCUCCGGCUCUCUGCGACUAGGCCCCAAGUCAGGAGGUAAAUACUGCAGGGCUCAGCAGGAAAGUGAGGCGGCGAGCGAGCGAGCGUGCAUGUGUGUAUGUGUUUUGUUUCCAGUGUUGGACAGCAUCCCCUGACAAAUGGACUUUUCCGCCCUGGAAGUUUUGGGGAGAACGUGAAGUGAAAAAUGUCCUAAGUGCAAUAUUGCACGGCUGCGUGAACCUGGAGCGGUGUCUUACACAGUAGGUCUGCUGCGCCGGGGGCAGUCAGGAGUGCGUGUUUU
Molecule: long non-coding RNA, 1631 nt
Organism: Apteryx owenii (little spotted kiwi)
Lineage: Eukaryota; Metazoa; Chordata; Aves; Apterygiformes; Apterygidae
Source: Ensembl